UACGGAGGGUGCAAGCGUUAUCCGGAUUUACUGGGUUUAAAGGGUGCGUAGGCGGGUUAUUAAGUCAGUGGUGAAAGCCUUCAGCUCAACUGAAGAAUUGCCAUUGAUACUGAUGAUCUUGAGUACGAUUGAGGUAGGCGGAAUGUGUCAUGUAGCGGUGAAAUGCUUAGAUAUGACACAGAACACCGAUUGCGAAGGCAGCUUACUAAGUCGUAACUGACGCUGAUGCACGAAAGCGUGGGGAGCAAACAGG
Molecule: ribosomal RNA, 253 nt
Filed under: uncultured bacterium
Lineage: Bacteria
Description: partial 16S ribosomal RNA
Rfam family: Bacterial small subunit ribosomal RNA
Source: RNAcentral